GAGAGAGAGAGAGACAGAGAGUGUGAAAGAAAGGGGGGUGUCACAGAGACUACCACAUCAGAGAAACCCACCUCCCUCCCCUCUUGCUCCUCACGAAAUGCACCUGCCAGCACCAAAGUAAGACAGCCGCUCCUGAAAGCAUGUAAACAAAACCAAAGCUGGGAGAAACCUUGCAGCAUCGUAAGCAGGGCGCCGAUAGAUUUCCUUUGGAGACUCUGCAUUUUGGAUAAUGAAGAGGAGCAGGUGGGCGAAUAGAUUCUGUCACAGUCUACAAGACGCAAGGACACUGGCAUUGUGGGUGACUGAUAAAGAGCUGGCCUUCAUGCAUGAGAAGGGAAUAAGGGAUCCCUCACUCUGUCUCUGUGAAGCCAAAUAAAUAAACAGAGAGCACACAAGUGGAUGGAUAAUCAGUAGAACAGCAGGCACACCGAAUCAUAGACAAGAUUAUUGACAAGCAGUAAAACUGCAAGACAGUGAUGCCAAAGUGUCCUCAUUUAAAAAACACAAGGACCAUUUUCAGCUUCAUAAAUACUCAAAGAUACUCUUAAUGUUUUUUUUUGUCUUACCUGAGGCCAGCUGAGCCACAUCUGGAUCCUCUUGUACCUUCCAUGAUUCAGGUUUAUCAGCAAAUGAGUGAUGAACCGGAAUAAUUAUCCUUCCACCUAAACAAUGAAGAAAUAGAAAAAAGUCUGAUAACAAAGGGCUCAGAAGAAUAUACCGUGUUGUAUUAUGCGUCAUGGACCCAUUUUGUGGAAAGAAACAUGUUGUCCUUUUGUACAGAAUCAUUAACAACACGUUGCACAAGGCUUGGUCAAGUUCUCAAAGGACUAGCUAAUCAUGGUCUCUUCACCUACAGAAUAAUAGCCUCUUUGUUCAUAAAUUAACAGAGGACAAAUAACAGGGUUGUAUUCCAGUGAACCAUAGAGGAGAAAUUCACCACAACAGGUCAUUAUGACUGUAUUGCAGCGGAGUUAUUGUCUGCAUGCUGCUAUUACAAUUAUUAUGGUUGUAAGAUGUAAUAAUAAUAAUAAUACAUGUAAUUUGUACCGCACUUUUCAUUCAAAGUGCUACAGUAUUAACCCCUUGACAACCCUUUAAAUUUAUGUAAAAUUAACCUAAAACGCUUAUCCAAGGCAUACCUUAAGUAAACUGAAAGCUGUUCUUGAACCAUUAGGAGUAGAUGCAUGGUUUUGGUCUCUUUUGAAAGGUAACACUGAUGUUUUUUUCCAUAACAGUCAGAAUCACUGUAAGUGCUGCUGGCAUUGAUUAAUAGAUGUUUGAACACACUGAAGUGGAAUGUUUUUAUUUCUGCCUGAAUAU
Molecule: long non-coding RNA, 1320 nt
Organism: Thunnus maccoyii (southern bluefin tuna)
Lineage: Eukaryota; Metazoa; Chordata; Actinopteri; Scombriformes; Scombridae
Exons: 3
Source: RefSeq, a predicted model, not a curated record